Molecule: long non-coding RNA, 118 nt
Organism: Xenia sp. Carnegie-2017
Lineage: Eukaryota; Metazoa; Cnidaria; Anthozoa; Malacalcyonacea; Xeniidae
Exons: 3
Source: RefSeq, a predicted model, not a curated record
UAUCAACGCAAAGCAAAUGGGAAAAAGCAAAGACAUCAUGUAGAUGGUUGCGUCUUCUUUAAUCUUACUAAAUCUGUUAAGGUAUGUUUAUUAUAAAGUUUACCUAUCAGAGUGUCAU